This 313-nucleotide ribosomal RNA is filed under the name uncultured bacterium. Its description in RNAcentral is "bacterial SSU rRNA". It matches the Rfam family "Bacterial small subunit ribosomal RNA", at positions 28 to 334 of the family's 1533-position model. The record is from RNAcentral.
GAUGAACGCUGGCGGCGUGCCUAACACAUGCAAGUCGAACGGGAACAGAAUGAAACCUAGUGAUUUUUGUUUUAGUGGCGGACGGGUGAGUAACGCGUGGGUAACCUGCCGUAUACAGGGGGAUAACACUUAGAAAUAGGUGCUAAUACCGCAUAAGCGCACAGCUUCGCAUGGAGCAGUGUGAAAAGCGUAAACGGUAUACGAUGGACCCGCGUCUGAUUAGCUAGUUGGCGGGGUAGAGGCCCACCAAGGCGACGAUCAGUAGCCGGCCUGAGAGGGUGACCGGCCACAUUGGGACUGAGACACGGCCCAA